GCCCCCGUAGCUCAAUUGGAUAGAGCAGCUGGUUUCUACCCAGCAGGCUGAGGGUUCGAGUCCUUCCGGGGGCGCCA
This 77-nucleotide transfer RNA is filed under the name Actinomycetota bacterium. Its description in RNAcentral is "Actinobacteria bacterium tRNA-Arg". It matches the Rfam family "tRNA". From Rfam's summary of the family: Transfer RNA (tRNA) molecules are approximately 80 nucleotides in length. Their secondary structure includes four short double-helical elements and three loops (D, anti-codon, and T loops). The record is from RNAcentral. Lineage: Bacteria; Bacillati; Actinomycetota.